GUGGUAUCCAAUUGUUUAGUAGCUACUAUCUUGUCUCAUCGCUACAACUCACGUACGGGCUCGGGAGAGACGAAGGUUGCAAGUCAUGCACAACCCAACCAAGCCGCACUGUCUUCAAGGGGCAGUGUUGUAUUUUGAGACAGGCUUGAAUAAUCUAAGCAGCCAAUAGGCAGAGGGUAGCAUAAUGUGUCUGAUUCUCUGUAAUAAUGGUAUGGGAAUAAUAAUGCUUUUCAUUUUGUAAAUUCGUUUCUUGCAUCAAACAACACAACAACAUGUUUAGUCACUUUGUCUGAAGGACAAGUGGAUUAACAGGUUAAUGUCAAGUCCUGCAUGUUUUUUUAAGUCUCAUGGAAUGCAGGUCUACAUUGAACACCACACAUUGACUGCUGCUGUAGGCUGAAUGAUUGAACAGCUAUUUCCAUGUUAAAAUGUGAUGUUGUUGAUGGUCAGGUCUGCUUGGAUACAGUACAUCAGGCAUGUAUUUGACUACCCACCCUGCCUUACCCUCUGAAUUGACCUUUAAUCCCGAUAUGUUGUUCAAGGCUGUGGGGAGCCCAUGGAGUGUGAGCCAGGAGUUCCUGGUGUUAAACAGGAGCCUUCAGGGAGCCCAUACAGGGAGCUGGGAGCAGAGGGUAUGGAGGAAGGCCUCCUCAAAGGAGUAGAAGAGACGGACGAGGGAAAGAAGAGGAAGAGAAAACCCUACAGACCAGGGAUUGGUGGCUUCAUGGUGCGUCAGAGAAAGUGUCACACACGGAUGAAGAAGGGUCUGUUCCCCCAUCUGUCUCAUCUGGCUGGAGACGGAACUGUUACGACAGCCAGACCGACAAGAGAGAAGCCUGCCCUAGAGGAAGGCAAGUUACAGAAGCCAUCUAAGUCAGAACAUUUCAGUGUUUGACCACUAUCUGUUAGAGGUCAAAAUCUAAUUUCUUCAAGGAAUAUGAUAAACCUUUGACGACCACUGCGGAAAUAAGUGUUUUCAUUCAUAUGUUUUAAUGUGUCAUCCUCCGGGAUUUAAAUGUUUAUAGUGUGGAUGUAUGAGUUAUUUGUAAUUAAUGUUCCCUCUAAGCUGAGCGCGGUAGCCCUGAGACUGCCACGCAGAAAUAUCAGCCCACAGAGAGAAGCAUGUGAUUCAACUUCACUCAACUUUCUAGAGCAGUGGUCACCAACCGGUCAAUUCCAUCCGACUGGUCGAUCUCCAAGGCAUUCCUAGUUGAUCUCCAAAUAUCUCUGUUAAAAAAGCAACGAUAAAGCCAUGUUCUUAUUUUUUGUUUUAUUCAUCUGUCUGGCAGUAGGUGCACCUGAUUCAGCUGCCCUGCGCACCGGGUCAGCCAACUGUUGACUUUUUCAACCAUUUCAUGUGUCUGAAGGUACAAACUCUGCCUUCCUGGUUGGCGCAGAU
Molecule: long non-coding RNA, 1399 nt
Filed under: Oncorhynchus mykiss (rainbow trout)
Lineage: Eukaryota; Metazoa; Chordata; Actinopteri; Salmoniformes; Salmonidae
Description: lncRNA (ENSOMYG00000064432.1)
Source: RNAcentral